Molecule: long non-coding RNA, 403 nt
Filed under: Apteryx haastii (Great spotted kiwi)
Lineage: Eukaryota; Metazoa; Chordata; Aves; Apterygiformes; Apterygidae
Description: lncRNA (ENSAHAG00000017448.1)
Source: RNAcentral
CUGUUCUUUGCCACCCAUUAUCCAGAGAAAGAGUUGUCUUCAGAGAGUCGUUAAGCCGUCACUUUAUGCUUUUGAAACUUACUCUCUUAACUUCCUUCAAACUCAACUCCAGAAGUAAUCCCUACAGCAAAACUCCAGGGAGGUGACAGACGAUACAAUAAUAGUCAUUACUGACUAUUACACGAGUGAUCGUUUUUAGCCAUCUGAGUUACAUGACAUGGUGGCGAAAAUGUCAAUGGCUGCGUACCAAGAGCUCUUGUUGUUGGAGUCAUGCUGUAUUCUGGAAAAAUCUUGUGCAGAAAAUCCAGCGCGGUGUCGUUACCAGCUUGUGAUACAGACACAGCCGUCUACUUGGAAAUCUGAAUUAAUCAGAUAUAAGUUAGAGAAAGCUUCCGAAAUCUAA